Haliotis rubra (blacklip abalone) is the source of this 1291-nucleotide long non-coding RNA. RefSeq lists it as uncharacterized. NCBI's taxonomy places the organism in Eukaryota, Metazoa, Mollusca, Gastropoda, Lepetellida, Haliotidae. The record is from RefSeq and is a predicted model, not a curated record. The transcript has 2 exons.
UAUACUUCUUGACAUUGUAUAUGAUCUUUUAUCACCCACCCCAACAGUUUCUGCUGGCUUGUGCCCCACGAAGAUCUGGGUUACAAUGGGUCUUCACAUAUCCUUGCUUGUAACCACUAACGAAAUUGUGUGGUCAGACGCAGUCACUUACUGUAGUUUAUACAUGUCAUCAUAUCACAGUUGUGUGGAUUGAUGCUCAUGAUGUCAAUCACUGGAUUGUCUGGUUCAGACUGAUUGCAACAUGAAGCAACAUGAUGGCAACAGAGCAGCACCUGACUACAGCAUCAGAAACACAGGAACAGCUAAAGUAGCCAGGGUAGUCAAUGCACAGGGCUUUGAUAUUCAACCAACUCUUUCAAAUGGUCAGAUUUCAAGACGUUAAAAAACCUUUCCAGAAAUUGCGUGAAUGUUUUGAUGUUAUGUUUACAAAACAAGUUGUUGGUUAUAUGUUUCCUCAAACAUCAGUGAAACAAAAAUUACACGGGAAUGUUUUGGCGUCAUGUCAGAUGACUGAGAUGAUUGGAUAAACAGACAAAAUGCAGUUAUAAAUCAACUGCCAGUAUGGAGAUUAUGUACUAGUUGGUUUGAGAUUUAUCAGUAUCAGAUGAUAUAUUAUUUCAACUUAUGUGAUAAACUAUUGUGUAAUUAGUAAUUGAAAACUAAUGUAAACUUAACUGAUUCAGCAAUAAUGUAUGUAAGGCAUGAAUGUUUUGUAUUCUUGGGUAGAGUUAUUGAAAACUAAUGUACAUGUAUUUGUGGUUUGUUUGCGCAUGAUUUGUGACGUUAAUGACGUGAUGUGUUGUCCCCUGCCGUCAUAUUGUCUGGGAAUUUCUAAACAAGACAUACAAACUCCCACCUGCUGAAGUACUGCUUUGAUUCAAUAUCAACCUCUUGAAUCAAGAAGCUCCUGUUGUCUGUUUUGUCAAUUCUGUGACAUAAGCUGCUGUCAAGGGUUCACUGUUGCACAGGCAUUGGCCAGAAAACGCUCUUGCACAGGCUCUUAAAUGUUCACUGUCUCAGACUUGUCAAAGGUUUGCUGUGGGACAGGAUUGUCUUAUCCGGUCGCUGUGGUACAGAACCAUGCCAAGGCUUUGCCAUGGCGCUGACUGUUGUCAAGGUCGUUCUCUAACACAGUCUGUUGUCAAGGUCCUUUUGUAACACAGUCUGUUGUCAAGGUCGCUCUGUACACAAUCUGUUGUCAAUCUUUUAUUGUGGCACAGACUGUUGUCAAGGGAAUCCUGUAACAGAAGCUGUUGUCAAGGUUGCUCUGUACACGAUCUGUUGUCAAUCU